Long non-coding RNA from Pistacia vera, 272 nucleotides. RefSeq lists it as uncharacterized. The transcript is spliced from 3 exons. NCBI's taxonomy places the organism in Eukaryota, Viridiplantae, Streptophyta, Magnoliopsida, Sapindales, Anacardiaceae. The record is from RefSeq and is a predicted model, not a curated record.
AAAACUGUGCUUCACAUCGUAAGAAGCUCCAAAGCGAAGCUGGUUAUCAUUACCAACAACUGCCCUCCUUUUUGGAAGUCUGAGAUAGAGUACUAUGCGAUGUUGGCUAAAGUUGGGGUUCACCACUACAAUGGGACGUGAAAGAAGGAUUGGAUUUUAUUAAAGAGGCUAUCAGCAGAACAACGUAUGGUGAGAAGAUAAAGAUAGCUAUUGAUGUUGUUGCUACUGAUUUUUGCAAAGGUGAUGAGUUCUUUCCUGCAAAUUUCCUACAC